CAUUAGUAGGAUGCAGACUUCUCACUUCAAGAGCUCUGCAGUUGAACAAAGAAGAAACCCCAGUUGCAGUUACUUCUCCGCAAUCCUCAAGAUGGAUUGAAAUCAAGCCCGGCCAUCCCUGUGAAAUGAGGCUCAGAGAAUCUGAAGUGAGAAGUCUGCAUCCUACUAAUGNNAGAAUUCAACCAAGCUUGCACAAUUCUGAGUAAGAACAACCAAAUCAUUAUCGGUCAUCUGAGGAGUUACCCUCUCAAGCCUCAAUUUCCUUAGAUUUGUGACAGAGUUUUUGAAGCUUGAUGUGGAUAUAUCACCAAGGCAGUAGCAUAGAGCCAGUGCCUGCAAG
RNAcentral lists this unclassified non-coding RNA (340 nucleotides) under Hevea brasiliensis (rubber tree). Lineage: Eukaryota; Viridiplantae; Streptophyta; Magnoliopsida; Malpighiales; Euphorbiaceae. The record is from RNAcentral.